RNAcentral lists this ribosomal RNA (307 nucleotides) under Mycobacterium mantenii. RNAcentral's name for it is "bacterial LSU rRNA". It matches the Rfam family "Bacterial large subunit ribosomal RNA", at positions 1505 to 1792 of the family's 2925-position model. The record is from RNAcentral. Lineage: Bacteria; Bacillati; Actinomycetota; Actinomycetes; Mycobacteriales; Mycobacteriaceae.
UCCAAGUUUAAGGUGGUAGGCUGAAAUCUUAGGUAAAUCCGGGGUUUCAAGGCCGAGAGCUGAUGACGAGUCGUCUUUUAGAUGACGAAGUGGUUGAUGCCAUGCUUCCAAGAAAAGCUUCUAAGCUUCAGGUAACCAGGAACCGUACCCCAAACCGACACAGGUGGUCGGGUAGAGAAUACCAAGGCGCUUGAGAGAACUCGGGUGAAGGAACUAGGCAAAAUGGCACCGUAACUUCGGGAGAAGGUGCGCCGGCUAGGGUGAAGGAUUUACUCCGUAAGCUCUGGCUGGUCGAAGAUACCAGGCC